CAUGCAAGUCGAGCGAACUGAUUAGAAGCUUGCUUCUAUGACGUUAGCGGCGGACGGGUGAGUAACACGUGGGCAACCUGCCUGUAAGACUGGGAUAACUUCGGGAAACCGAAGCUAAUACCGGAUAGGAUCUUCUCCUUCAUGGGAGAUGAUUGAAAGAUGGUUUCGGCUAUCACUUACAGAUGGGCCCGCGGUGCAUUAGCUAGUUGGUGAGGUAACGGCUCACCAAGGCAACGAUGCAUAGCCGACCUGAGAGGGUGAUCGGCCACACUGGGACUGAGACACGGCCCAGACUCCUACGGGAGGCAGCAGUAGGGAAUCUUCCGCAAUGGACGAAAGUCUGACGGAGCAACGCCGCGUGAGUGAUGAAGGCUUUCGGGUCGUAAAACUCUGUUGUUAGGGAAGAACAAGUAUGAGAGUAACUGCUCGUACCUUGACGGUACCUAACCAGAAAGCCACGGCUAACUACGUGCCAGCAGCCGCGGUAAUACGUAGGUGGCAAGCGUUAUCCGGAAUUAUUGGGCGUAAAGCGCGCGCAGGCGGUUUCUUAAGUCUGAUGUGAAAGCCCACGGCUCAACCGUGGAGGGUCAUUGGAAACUGGGGAACUUGAGUGCAGAAGAGAAAAGCGGAAUUCCACGUGUAGCGGUGAAAUGCGUAGAGAUGUGGAGGAACACCAGUGGCGAAGGCGGCUUUUUGGUCUGU
RNAcentral lists this ribosomal RNA (702 nucleotides) under Priestia aryabhattai. RNAcentral describes it as "bacterial SSU rRNA". It matches the Rfam family "Bacterial small subunit ribosomal RNA", at positions 54 to 737 of the family's 1533-position model. The record is from RNAcentral. Lineage: Bacteria; Bacillati; Bacillota; Bacilli; Caryophanales; Bacillaceae.